RNAcentral lists this ribosomal RNA (500 nucleotides) under uncultured Actinomycetes bacterium. RNAcentral's name for it is "bacterial SSU rRNA". It matches the Rfam family "Bacterial small subunit ribosomal RNA", at positions 381 to 891 of the family's 1533-position model. The record is from RNAcentral. Lineage: Bacteria; Bacillati; Actinomycetota; Actinomycetes.
GCCUGAUGCAGCGACGCCGCGUGAGGGAUGACGGCCUUCGGGUUGUAAACCUCUUUCAGUAGGGAAGAAGCGAAAGUGACGGUACCUGCAGAAGAAGCGCCGGCUAACUACGUGCCAGCAGCCGCGGUAAUACGUAGGGCGCAAGCGUUAUCCGGAAUUAUUGGGCGUAAAGAGCUCGUAGGCGGUUUGUCGCGUCUGCCGUGAAAGUCCGGGGCUCAACUCCGGAUCUGCGGUGGGUACGGGCAGACUAGAGUGAUGUAGGGGAGACUGGAAUUCCUGGUGUAGCGGUGAAAUGCGCAGAUAUCAGGAGGAACACCGAUGGCGAAGGCAGGUCUCUGGGCAUUAACUGACGCUGAGGAGCGAAAGCAUGGGGAGCGAACAGGAUUAGAUACCCUGGUAGUCCAUGCCGUAAACGUUGGGCACUAGGUGUGGGGGACAUUCCACGUUUUCCGCGCCGUAGCUAGCGCAUUAAGUGCCCCGCCUGGGGAGUACGGCCGCAA